UCCGUUUUUUCACAGGUCGGAUAUCCGCCCUCAAACGAUAUUUUCACCUAUGCUCUACUACCGUUUUUCAUCACCUUUUUAUCAACAAUACAUCACUGCUGAUGGUUUUCUCCCCAGCUUCUCAUGGUCACUUAUCUCUUUUUCUGAACUUCUACACUCUUUCAUUUGGAUUCUUGGUCAACCUUCUCGAUGGAGGCCUAUAUCUCGGACAGUAUUCCUAGAAAGAUUACCGGAAGACGAAGAAUUACCUCCAAUAGAUGCACUGCAGAUCCAAACAAAGAACCAACUAUAGGAGUGUUGAACACAGUGAUAUCAGCUAUGUCUUUAGACUACCCUUCUGAAAAGCUCUUUGUGUAUGUGUCCGAUGAUGGGGGUGCACCUAUUACUUUGUUUGGUAUGAUAGAAGCUUAUAGUUUUGCUAAACAAGGGAUUCCUUUUUGUAAGAAAUAUGGAAUAAAAACAAGAGCUCCAGAUGCUCAUUUCUCGCAAUCAGAUCAUCAAAAGGAAAAUGGUUCAAUGAGUAAUGAAUUUGCUGAAAUUAAUUCGAAAGGAAAUGGAGGUGAGCUAACAUUUCGAUCUUAUCGCGUACUCUUACAGUGCAUCAUAAAAUUUAGUUACUUUUACUGUUUUACACGUCUAAUUAACAAGAUUCAAUCCAGGUUAGGUAUCAAGUGUUUAAGCAACGGGUGCAGAAAGCAAGAUCAAGUGGUGCUGCAAGCUUAUCUUCUGGUUCAGAUCGACCUCCUAUUAUCGACGUAAAUUAAGUUUAAUUUGGUGGUAUUGACAUGUUUACAGUAUAUUGAUUUAGGCAAAUUAGAUUUUGUGGACUUGCUGACCCUGAAUUCGAUUAUGGCAGGUCAUACAAAAUGAUGCAGUCGAUGGUGAAGUAAAAGAAAAUGAUCAAGCCAAGGUGGCUCUUCUAAUUUAUGUUUCGCGUGAAGAAAGACCAACUCAUCCACACCAUUUCAAACCAGGAGCUCUUAAUGCCCUUGUAUGUUUAAUUGUUUAUAUUUAUUCCUCUCCCUUCUAGUGUUCUACGACACAUUAUGAUGUACUGGUCACUUCGAUCAGCAUGACGUACUGGUAUUAAUUAACGACCAAUAACCUCUUGACGCAUGUCCUUGUUGCAGCUUCGUGUGUCAGGCAUAAUAAGCAAUUCUCCAUACAUGUUGGUCUUAGAUUGUGAUAUGAAUUGCAGUGACCCAACCUCUGCUAGACAAGCUAUGUGUUUCCACAUUGAUCCUGACAUCUCUCCCUCGUUGGCUUUUGUUCAAUUUCCUCAACUGUUCCAUAAUCUCAGUAAGAAUGACAUCUAUAAUGAUCUAUUGAGAACCGGAUGUGAGGUAUAUCUACGUUAAACGAGUCUUGUAUAGCUAAUUAACGUCUCAGAGUCGGGAUAAUCUAGGUUAUUAAAACUGUUCUGAUUAUAUUUGCAAUCGGACGUCGUUAUAUUUCAGGUGCAGUGGUAUGGUCUGGAUGGCCUACGGGGGCCACUUUUAUCUGGCACUGGCUUUUAUACGAAGAGAGAAGCUUUGUUUAGAAGUCCUACACAAAAAGGUUUAGCAAAAAACUUAGGGACGGGUUCCUUCUUCUACUGACUUAUGUAAAGUGUUUUUUUUUUUUUUUUUUUUGAUAAUUAAGUUUAACACCUUAUUAAAAUUAAAACUGUCAGAAACAAGUUACAAGAAGUUAACAUGGACAGUGAGAGAGACACUCACUCUCCUUGCAGGCCUAAUCAACUCUUUAUUGUGCAGAUCUAAGUCACAUUAGGAAUAGGCAAGAUGUCGGUUGUUCAAAUGACUUCAUCACAUCACUUCAUCCUGAUAACAAAGUUAAAGCAAUUAGCAAUAAUCAACAUGUAUCAAGCAGAUUGCUUGAAGAGGCCAGACUUCUGGCUUCUUGCACAUACGAGUAACAAACACAAUGGGGUGAACAGGUAAGUUAAUUUCCAAAUGAAUAAACAAACCAUCUCAUGUCAUUAUGACCCUAUCAGUAUUGUUCCAUCAAAAUUUUUAUAAGAAUGAGAAGUACGGACAAACUGAUUUAAGCUACAAGAUAAUAUUCAGCUCUCAUAUUAAAAAUGUGUUAGUAUCAUAAUAACUGAGCUGCAUAAGUGCUUCAGCUUAGGAUCUACAUAAAAAAUACGAAAUUCCAUCAGUAAUUACUUACUCUUUACCUAGUGUCUUACCUCUCUUUCUUUCUUAAUGGCGUUUUCUGAAAUAUCCAGACCUACAACAUAACGUUCAGGGCCAACAAUUGCAAUCACAUGAUGAUCUUGUUGGCUAUAAUAAGUAAGUACAAUAUAACGUGCAAACUAAUAAAACAUAAAAAUUAAACAAGUUUGUUGAACAGUUUUAAUUAGAGACCAAAUGUUGUUACAUGCGUGAAAACGCCACUUUCACUUAUAAAUGACCAUUGCAUCAAAAUGUCAUGUCAUCAGAUAAAAUUUUAACAUUUUGGAACAUGUACUCACAUGCUGAAACAAUAACAAACAUGUAAACACUUACAGUGUCACAUACUGGGAUUAGAACCCUGCCUUUUGGAAGAGGAAGAGCAGCUGGUUUGUAGAAGAUUUAAAAUAACAGGUGUUGGUCCUCGCAAAUCCCCAUAGUGUUCAGUGCUUUUUCCUAGCAUUAUUUGUCCCAGGCACCUAGUCAUUCAAACUUAAACAAAAUUCAGAAAUUCAAUAGUUGUAAUGGACAGAACGACUUAGAAAUUAAACACAAGUUUUCCUUUGAGCUUCCAAUGUAGUCAAUUAUGUUGAUGUAAAAAUCCAUUAAGGCCAUUAUGCUAUGCUUCUUGAAGCAGAUUUACAAACAUUCUACAAAUAAGUCAAAGUGUUGCAAGGUUUCUGUUACAUGUUCGAUAAUCUAAUUCUCACUGGUAUGAUUAUGUAUUCACAUUAUCACUUCAAAUUUUCAUCAUCAUCAUCAUCAUCAUCAUCAUACUCAAAUUAUCACAAAUAAGAUAUUGAAUUCCAUGGAAAUUGAAGAAUAUACAAUUAAAUUAAACAACAAUAAAAAGAAGAGUAGAGAUGAGAUGAGAUGAGAUAGUAAGGAGAGAGUGUCAGACCUGUUGAAUCAUUGUUAACGAAUUGGUUCAAGUUAGGUAGAUUUUAGUUGUUGUUGUUGUUCGAAAUCUUCUCUUGAUCUCUUCUCUUUCACUUUGUUUCCUCAUGCUCCUUCGUUCCAACCUAUUGCAAGUUGCAACAACAAAGAUUUUUCACUCUUGUUGUUGUUAAAUGUAAAUGAAGGAAACUGCAAUUGGAUUUGGAGAGCGAACGAACAAGAUUACAAGAGUGUUGCGCGCAAGCAAACAUUACCAUCGCUCGCUCUCGCUCUCGCUCUCGAGUCUCGUCAAACCUUGGAGGAAGAUUGCCUUGGACUGGGCACUGGACUUGCUGAAUUUCUCAACCUAAAGGCAACAAUCUUGCUGUCUAUU
Molecule: long non-coding RNA, 3441 nt
Filed under: Aquilegia coerulea
Lineage: Eukaryota; Viridiplantae; Streptophyta; Magnoliopsida; Ranunculales; Ranunculaceae
Description: long non-coding RNA (ACOE_LNC001251)
Source: RNAcentral